UUAAGUUAUUAAGGGCGCACGGUGGAUGCCUUGGCACUAGAAGCCGAUGAAGGACGUUACUAACGACGAUAUGCUUUGGGGAGCUGUAAGUAAGCUUUGAUCCAGAGCUUUCCGAAUGGGGAAACCCAGCAUGAGUUAUGUCAUGUUAUCGAUAUGUGAAUACAUAGCAUAUCAGAAGGCACACCCGGAGAACUGAAACAUCUUAGUACCCGGAGGAAGAGAAAGAAAAUUCGAUUCCCUUAGUAGCGGCGAGCGAAACGGGAAGAGCCCAAACCAACAAGCUUGCUUGUUGGGGUUGUAGGACACUCUAUACGGAGUUACAAAGGACGACAUUAGACGAAUCAUCUGGAAAGAUGAAUCAAAGAAGGUAAUAAUCCUGUAGUCGAAAAUGUUGUCUCUCUUGAGUGGAUCCUGAGUACGACGGAGCACGUGAAAUUCCGUCGGAAUCUGGGAGGACCAUCUCCUAAGGCUAAAUACUCUCUAGUGACCGAUAGUGAACCAGUACCGUGAGGGAAAGGUGAAAAGCACCCCGGAAGGGGAGUGAAAUAGAACCUGAAACCGUGUGCUUACAAGUAGUCAGAGCCCGUUAAUGGGUGAUGGCGUGCCUUUUGUAGAAUGAACCGGCGAGUUACGAUUUGAUGCAAGGUUAAGCAGUAAAUGUGGAGCCGUAGCGAAAGCGAGUCUGAAUAGGGCGUUUAGUAUUUGGUCGUAGACCCGAAACCAGGUGAUCUACCCUUGGUCAGGUUGAAGUUCAGGUAACACUGAAUGGAGGACCGAACCGACUUACGUUGAAAAGUGAGCGGAUGAACUGAGGGUAGCGGAGAAAUUCCAAUCGAACCUGGAGAUAGCUGGUUCUCUCCGAAAUAGCUUUAGGGCUAGCCUCAAGUGAUGAUUAUUGGAGGUAGAGCACUGUUUGGACGAGGGGCCCCUCUCGGGUUACCGAAUUCAGACAAACUCCGAAUGCCAAUUAAUUUAACUUGGGAGUCAGAACAUGGGUGAUAAGGUCCGUGUUCGAAAGGGAAACAGCCCAGACCACCAGCUAAGGUCCCAAAAUAUAUGUUAAGUGGAAAAGGAUGUGGCGUUGCCCAGACAACUAGGAUGUUGGCUUAGAAGCAGCCAUCAUUUAAAGAGUGCGUAAUAGCUCACUAGUCGAGUGACACUGCGCCGAAAAUGUACCGGGGCUAAACAUAUUACCGAAGCUGUGGAUUGUCCUUUGGACAAUGGUAGGAGAGCGUUCUAAGGGCGUUGAAGCAUGAUCGUAAGGACAUGUGGAGCGCUUAGAAGUGAGAAUGCCGGUGUGAGUAGCGAAAGACGGGUGAGAAUCCCGUCCACCGAUUGACUAAGGUUUCCAGAGGAAGGCUCGUCCGCUCUGGGUUAGUCGGGUCCUAAGCUGAGGCCGACAGGCGUAGGCGAUGGAUAACAGGUUGAUAUUCCUGUACCACCUAUAAUCGUUUUAAUCGAUGGGGGGACGCAGUAGGAUAGGCGAAGCGUGCGAUUGGAUUGCACGUCUAAGCAGUAAGGCUGAGUAUUAGGCAAAUCCGGUACUCGUUAAGGCUGAGCUGUGAUGGGGAGAAGACAUUGUGUCUUCGAGUCGUUGAUUUCACACUGCCGAGAAAAGCCUCUAGAUAGAAAAUAGGUGCCCGUACCGCAAACCGACACAGGUAGUCAAGAUGAGAAUUCUAAGGUGAGCGAGCGAACUCUCGUUAAGGAACUCGGCAAAAUGACCCCGUAACUUCGGGAGAAGGGGUGCUCUUUAGGGUUAACGCCCAGAAGAGCCGCAGUGAAUAGGCCCAAGCGACUGUUUAUCAAAAACACAGGUCUCUGCUAAACCGUAAGGUGAUGUAUAGGGGCUGACGCCUGCCCGGUGCUGGAAGGUUAAGAGGAGUGGUUAGCUUCUGCGAAGCUACGAAUCGAAGCCCCAGUAAACGGCGGCCGUAACUAUAACGGUCCUAAGGUAGCGAAAUUCCUUGUCGGGUAAGUUCCGACCCGCACGAAAGGCGUAACGAUUUGGGCACUGUCUCAACGAGAGACUCGGUGAAAUCAUAGUACCUGUGAAGAUGCAGGUUACCCGCGACAGGACGGAAAGACCCCGUGGAGCUUUACUGUAGCCUGAUAUUGAAAUUCGGCACAGCUUGUACAGGAUAGGUAGGAGCCUUUGAAACGUGAGCGCUAGCUUACGUGGAGGCGCUGGUGGGAUACUACCCUAGCUGUGUUGGCUUUCUAACCCGCACCACUUAUCGUGGUGGGAGACAGUGUCAGGCGGGCAGUUUGACUGGGGCGGUCGCCUCCUAAAAGGUAACGGAGGCGCUCAAAGGUUCCCUCAGAAUGGUUGGAAAUCAUUCAUAGAGUGUAAAGGCAUAAGGGAGCUUGACUGCGAGACCUACAAGUCGAGCAGGGUCGAAAGACGGACUUAGUGAUCCGGUGGUUCCGCAUGGAAGGGCCAUCGCUCAACGGAUAAAAGCUACCCCGGGGAUAACAGGCUUAUCUCCCCCAAGAGUUCACAUCGACGGGGAGGUUUGGCACCUCGAUGUCGGCUCAUCGCAUCCUGGGGCUGUAGUCGGUCCCAAGGGUUGGGCUGUUCGCCCAUUAAAGCGGUACGCGAGCUGGGUUCAGAACGUCGUGAGACAGUUCGGUCCCUAUCCGUCGUGGGCGUAGGAAAUUUGAGAGGAGCUGUCCUUAGUACGAGAGGACCGGGAUGGACAUACCUCUGGUGUACCAGUUGUCGUGCCAACGGCAUAGCUGGGUAGCUAUGUGUGGACGGGAUAAGUGCUGAAAGCAUCUAAGCAUGAAGCCCCCCUCAAGAUGAGAUUUCCCAACUUCGGUUAUAAGAUCCCUCAAAGAUGAUGAGGUUAAUAGGUUCGAGGUGGAAGCAUGGUGACAUGUGGAGCUGACGAAUACUAAUCGAUCGAAGACUUAAUCAA
Molecule: ribosomal RNA, 2921 nt
Filed under: Staphylococcus aureus M0701
Lineage: Bacteria; Bacillati; Bacillota; Bacilli; Caryophanales; Staphylococcaceae
Also listed under: 1 other name
Description: bacterial LSU rRNA
Rfam family: Bacterial large subunit ribosomal RNA
Source: RNAcentral